ACUCACUUUAUUUUCACUGAUCAGAUGCAGACCUGCCAAGUCCCCUCUAUGACUUAAGCUGUUUUUACCAGAAAGGACAAAUGAAAUUGAUAUGGAUAAAAUUGUUAAGCCUGUCUUCUGUAAAGAAGUGAUAUAAUAAAAUAUAACAUUUUAUCGGUCCAUUAAAAAUAUAUAAAUAUCAACAUUUUUGUACAGAACAAAAACCCAGUUUGAUCGCUUACUCUAAUAAAAUGGUGGGGGAGGGAUAUUUGUCCUCCAGAAGCAAGUUCAUUUUUGUGUGAAAUAUUUCAAUCUGUGAAAACCUAAAGAACAGCACUAGUUUGGGGGCAAAUUUUGCUAGCCGAUAUGUUACGUAUAACGUUAUUUAGGGCCCUCUUUGAGGUAAAACCGUGCAAAUUGCUCUUAUGGACACCACUGGUUAACCAUGAGAGAUGUACAAGUAAUCAAACCAUGCAGACCUUUUGUAUUGAAAUAUGCAGGUUUGCGACUGGAACAACAAAAGGACUGACAACAUAUAUUUGUCUAAAAGUGUAGAGAGCUGGGUGGUCAUUUGAAGCCAAUUCUGUAAUGCUCGGUGAUGCUGUGGACGGCUUCCAUAGCAGAAACACGUGGGCGACAAGUAGAACACAGUGGUGCACACAUAGGAGCGAAGUCCGUUGCGGACUGAAACCUUCACACCAACUAAAAAUGUCUGCCUAGUUGGAAAGAAGCUUCACACACACACAGAGUUUUGUUUUACCUGGAUUACAUCUAGGCUAUAGGCUACAUCCAAGCGCACCCUGAAAUUGAAAAUAAGGCAUACAAAGACUGAAUCAUGAGAAGUCUUGAGUUUCCACUCAAUGUCUAACACCACAUAAAUCAGUUGGGAGUUUCUGCAUUAGACCUCCCCCUACCCACAGUAAAGCCACCGUUUAUGAAGCAGAAAAUGAACACCAGUUGAGUACGUGCGUGAAGGACCACGCCAUCUAAGCAUCUGCUCACGGUGAUGGGACCGUUUCCAUUAAUUUUUUUUUGUCCAGUACAUAAUUGCCCCCACCAUGUCUUGCACUAACACAAAUGUGCCAGCAUCUCUCUGCUUCCAAUCCACAUGCCCCAACCUCCCUAGAUUCCCACUGAACUGCACUGAUAAACACCAACUGAUUGACAGCAGGUCCCCCAGUCCAUGUCGUACCCAAGUGAACAUGUAUCCCAGAGGACUUCACUGCUUGGGCUUCAGAGUCCGGUCCAGUUUCUCACCACACGGUGUCCACAUGUACGCCACACCCACUAUGUCACUUCCUGCCAUCACUUCACCCUGCCCUGGCUGCAUCAGACGGCGCUGAAAGGUAAAAGACCUUCAGAGACCGUCUGUAAGCCACAGCCGUUUUAACAUCGUUUCCUCGUGGCCGGUCAUGUUAAGCUUGCGCCAGGUAUUGGUAGUGUCUGAACACAGCCACGUAGCACAAGGGGAUGGGGGGCGUGUGUGUCCGUCCGUCCCCCCCUCCCAGUGACUGGUGUGUGCUGUACCCUGUGUCCAUGUUAGACUGAAUCCUACUUCAGGCACUUCUCAUGUAGACCUCAUCUCUCACUAACUCAGUGUAAAUGUCAAUCAAAUGGCUUGAUCGAAACAGACCCUGUAUUUAAUCUUGAUGACGGCCUCAGCCUCCCCCUCACACACACGCGCACACACGCGCACACACACACCUGUGUGAAGGCAGAAAUGACUUGCCUUCCUGCCCGUUAAAUUCCCCAGUAAGACCAGUGAGGAGUGGAGUUAAGAGAGAAAGCAGUAUUUUGGUUGCUUAUACAGUAAUCACAUAAAUUAGAUUUCUACAAUAUGCAAAAUAAUAUUGGUUAAAUUCAAAAAAUAGGAUUUUAAACAUACAGCAACAGAAAUAAAAGGCAAUAAUUUUGGCUUUGGAAACAAACCUUUUUUUUUUUUUUCCUUUCCUUUUGAAAAUGUCACUGAUAUAUAUAGAUAUAUAUACUGUUGAAAGCAGUAUGCUGGGAGACCCGAGGCAGAAACAGAAGAAAACAAAACACACACAAACGCACUCACUUGCUCACUCACGCGCACACACACACACACACACACACUAUAGCACAGACGUAUACGUCUCCACCUCACACUCCUGCAAGUGCAAAAUAAAAUAACUUUCAAGAAAAAAAAAAGGAAAGAAACAUUGUUGUAAUCCAGAGAUUUGGUACCAUAUAGCGCUACUUUAGAUAUGACUGUUGAAGAACAGUAGGCCUAGGCCUGCUACUGAAAAAAAAAUUAUAAAUUUAAAAUAAAAGAAAACCAAACCGAAAAAGGUGUGGAUACUAGGAGAGCAUGGUGUCACUCUACAGCUAAGAGUCUUUAGCUUGAUUUUUUUUUCUUCUUCAGUUUUUCCUUGUUUUUUUCUUUUAUAAGUUCAAAUUUUGACCGUUGUCCUAAUGGCACAAGAACGAGACCACAGUGACGUGACGUCCCACGGAGCAGUCUUAAACAGUGACUAAAAGGUUGGACAUAUACUUUUUUUUUUUUUUUCUUGGUUUGUCUUUUCUUUUGUUUGUUUGACUUAACAAUAGACUUGAGCGAGGGGUGGGAUGUGCACUGUACGUACGGAUGUGCGGGGUGGGGUGGGGUGGGCGGGGCGGGGGGUAGCACAUCAUCAGGUUGAGGGUUGGGCCCCCAGUAGCCUCUGGAUUUUGCUCCAAGGGGUAGGGAUAGUUUGGGGGGGAAAGUAGGGUCAAACUUAAGGCAAAUGUCGUCACAAAUGCAUUUCAAUGCGAAAGAACAAGUGCUGAAUAUUUCAACUUGAUAUUGUUCAGAAAACACACGUUCUCAAAAAUUGCUUUUCAUGAAGAUUUCUAGAUGUUGGCAUUAUAUAGGUAGAUAAUUAUAUAUUUAGGUAGAUAAUGUUUUGGUUCAUUUUUUUUAUAUCAAUUAUUCUUAG
Clupea harengus (Atlantic herring) is the source of this 2918-nucleotide long non-coding RNA. The record is from Ensembl. NCBI's taxonomy places the organism in Eukaryota, Metazoa, Chordata, Actinopteri, Clupeiformes, Clupeidae.